UACGUAGGUGGCGAGCGUUGUCCGGAUUUACUGGGCGUAAAGAGCGCGCAGGCGGCUGGUCAAGUCCGAUGUGAAAGCUCCCGGCUUAACUGGGAAAUUGCAUCGGAAACUGAUCGGCUGGAAGGUGGGAGAGGGUAGCGGAAUUCCCGGUGUAGUGGUGAAAUGCGUAGAUAUCGGGAGGAACACCAGUGGCGAAGGCGGUUCUCUGGGCAUUACCUGACGCUGAGGAGCGAAAGUGUGGGGAGCGAACAGG
RNAcentral lists this ribosomal RNA (253 nucleotides) under uncultured bacterium. RNAcentral describes it as "partial 16S ribosomal RNA". It matches the Rfam family "Bacterial small subunit ribosomal RNA", at positions 524 to 776 of the family's 1533-position model. The record is from RNAcentral.